This 2109-nucleotide long non-coding RNA is filed under the name Brassica napus (rape). RNAcentral's name for it is "long non-coding RNA (BNAP_LNC008258)". Lineage: Eukaryota; Viridiplantae; Streptophyta; Magnoliopsida; Brassicales; Brassicaceae. The record is from RNAcentral.
GGUUUUGUAAUUAACUUUUUAUAUUAUUAUACCAAAAUAUAUACACAUACAAUAAUAUAAUUUUUUUAAGCCCCGGCUCUGGAUAUUAUUUAGAGAAAUAGAUACGUACCUCCGAGAAAGUGAAGUGAUGUAACCAAGUUGCUCCACUGUUCUAAGCUGGUGGAAAGUGGCUUGCUUUGCAAUGAGACUGAAAAGGUGAAGUUUGCUAUUCAUUGCAAAUUCAUCUUGAUGAACCUGAAUAUAAUGAACUAGAGCAGAGUUUUCAUCACUGGGGUUUGAUCCUUCUUGAUGGUAGAAGUAUCUCAUUCCUUUUCCCAGCUCUACAACCCUACUUGUCAGGAACUGUGAUGGAAACAACGGACGAGAAAUAGGUUUUGAGCCGCUAAAAAGAACAUCUUCAAUAUACUUCACCAUUGACUCAGCUUCAUUCUUCUCAACGUUUCCUGAAAAAAUACAUACCAUGAUGUGUAUACAAAAGGAUAAGAGAACCAAAAUAUCAUACAAUAGGAUAAAGAUUGUUACCUGCUAUGUAGCACUCAACAAAGGUUCUUGAUAACAGCAUUGGAACAUAACUAGCCAAGUCUUCAGCUUCUAAAUGAGAAAGAGCAUCUAAUUCCUCUGUCCAAGGCCAAGUGUUAUCUUGUAAAACCAAUGAGCAGUAACUCAAUGCUUGUUGAUAUGGUUGUUGGAACUUGUAGUUUUGGUAUGCCUUGGUCAUCGUUUCCUAUUACAAGAAUAUGGUUAAAAUCAUGCAACGAGGGAAGUGGUUGAUAACUUAGAAAGAGUGACAAGGUCUACUAUCAAGGUUACUUACCUUGACAACAGAAAACCUGUCAGGUUUAACUUCAAAUUUUGCUAUCUUUUGCAUGACAGCUUCAAGCAAGAUCCUCAGUUUAUGAUUAAAGCCAACAAGAUAGAGCUGGAAAUGAGAAACACUUUAGUCAAACAUGAGACUCACUGAGCAAAGUACACAAGGAAGCGUCAGAAUCCUUGUACACAAGCUUACCUCAAAACCAUUGUCUGAAAUACUUAAUCCAUAGUCAAGACCAGCAGUCUGCGCAUAGUAAGCUGAAACAUAUAUAGGAGUAAAGAUGACAUAAAAAAAAUUUAUUACCAUAGAGUUAUCUUGCCUAAUGACUAGAGGUAGUUCAAAGAGAAAUUUAUAUCUAUUACAUCGUACCAUAUUCAUUUAAGUAGUCCACAAGCAACCAAACAAAAGUAUUGGAAAGAACAGCAGCUUCAGGAGAAGUGAAUGCAAGGGGGCAGUUGAAAUCUAUAUUAACGUAUGCCUUUGGUUUGAAGAACUUUGUAUCCGGUUUGUACCACAAUCUUGAGAAUGAUGUCUUUCUCAACAAAACAGGAAAGGUUUCCUGUUCCAGAACUUAGUUAAGCAUCAUGAGAUAAAGUUGCUUUGUAAGACAUUUUUUUAAUUUGUAACUGGAAAAUAUAUACACAUACAAUAAUAUAAUUUUUUUAAGCCCCGGCUCUGGAUAUUAUUUAGAGAAAUAGAUACGUACCUCCGAGAAAGUGAAGUGAUGUAACCAAGUUGCUCCACUGUUCUAAGCUGGUGGAAAGUGGCUUGCUUUGCAAUGAGACUGAAAAGGUGAAGUUUGCUAUUCAUUGCAAAUUCAUCUUGAUGAACCUGAAUAUAAUGAACUAGAGCAGAGUUUUCAUCACUGGGGUUUGAUCCUUCUUGAUGGUAGAAGUAUCUCAUUCCUUUUCCCAGCUCUACAACCCUACUUGUCAGGAACUGUGAUGGAAACAACGGACGAGAAAUAGGUUUUGAGCCGCUAAAAAGAACAUCUUCAAUAUACUUCACCAUUGACUCAGCUUCAUUCUUCUCAACGUUUCCUGAAAAAAUACAUACCAUGAUGUGUAUACAAAAGGAUAAGAGAACCAAAAUAUCAUACAAUAGGAUAAAGAUUGUUACCUGCUAUGUAGCACUCAACAAAGGUUCUUGAUAACAGCAUUGGAACAUAACUAGCCAAGUCUUCAGCUUCUAAAUGAGAAAGAGCAUCUAAUUCCUCUGUCCAAGGCCAAGUGUUAUCUUGUAAAACCAAUGAGCAGUAACUCAAUGCUUGUUGAUAUGGUUGUUGGAACUUGUAGUUU